GUGGGUGAUCGCUGACCCAUUUUCUGUGACUUUAGGCAGGAAUGUUUAGCUUCCUUCCUGACCUGUAAAUGACAAACCCCAAAAUAAAAAUAACAGCUGCAGGCUUGGAGGAUUGUCUGGUCAAAGCAUGUGCUGCGAUAAAUACUGAAGCACAGCAUCUUUCCGGUUCAUCAUAAAAUUAAACCUCCUCGGAAAGAUAGGACUUUUUUAAAAAAUAUUUUUCAACCUUUUAAUAAUAUUUCGAGCUGUUAGUCACAACAGCAGAUUCAGCGUUUUCUGUUCAUUCCCUCACUUACUGUCUACCAAACAACAGGAGCAACACCCAACUUUUAACCAGCUGAUGGGGCUGGGAACCCCUAACACUGAGUUUGACCCCGUCUUUUAUCUAUUGUUUACGGUAAAAAAAUAAAAAAUAUAAAAAAACAGAAGACAGCGGCUGGUGUCCACCUGUUCACAACCAGCGAAGUGGAAUGAACAACAGACGUCAAUAUAGUGUGAUCAGACCCCACGAUUGAUCAAUAUGAAGCCACCAUAUUGUUCAGUAGCCUGUCAGGUCGACCUUGAGACCAACAUUACACUUCGCUUUUCCCACGCGCCUCAGCCAGCCACGUCAAUCAAAAUCAAAUAAAAUAGAAAUAAAUAAAUCGGACCACAGAGCGAUUCGGACAUGGAAUUGUUCCAUCAACAUGCAGAGAAACAGAGGGUGAUUCAGUGGCUCUCUGUGUGCACUGAGACCUCCAGCCAUCCUCUGCAGUGAGAGGACGUGUUGCAACCUGCCUUGGCAACCGCGGUUUCAUCACCAAGGACAGCUCCCCUUGUUCGCUUUCUUGGUUAAACCAAAAAAAAAAAAAAAAAAAAAAAAAUCAGUUUCCAGCCCCCUCACAAGACAAAACAGAAACACGCACGCACGGAUACACACAGCCGUACUUACACUGCUCUGCCUUCGUAGACAUUUCGCAGACACUUGGGGAAACAUAAAACCCAGACUGUCAGUUGUUUUGAUAGGUUUUUCCCUUCCCGGCGUUGUGUUUCCCUCAGUCGUGAAAAAGUGACUAUGCCCCCUUGCAGCCCAGGCUCGUCUUGAUUGUACCACUUUGCACGACGGAUUUAUACGCUGUGGUGUUUUAGCUGUGCUUC
This is a long non-coding RNA of Astatotilapia calliptera (eastern happy), 1137 nucleotides long. The record is from Ensembl. NCBI's taxonomy places the organism in Eukaryota, Metazoa, Chordata, Actinopteri, Cichliformes, Cichlidae.